CCAGGUAGCUCAGUUGGUAGAGCGUCCGCCUGAAAAGUGGAAGGUCGCCGGUUCGAUCCCGGCCUUGGCC
RNAcentral lists this transfer RNA (70 nucleotides) under fish gut metagenome. It matches the Rfam family "tRNA". From Rfam's summary of the family: Transfer RNA (tRNA) molecules are approximately 80 nucleotides in length. Their secondary structure includes four short double-helical elements and three loops (D, anti-codon, and T loops). The record is from RNAcentral.